RNAcentral lists this ribosomal RNA (493 nucleotides) under Pseudomonas sp. HA-OP21. RNAcentral's name for it is "bacterial SSU rRNA". It matches the Rfam family "Bacterial small subunit ribosomal RNA", at positions 8 to 501 of the family's 1533-position model. Lineage: Bacteria; Pseudomonadati; Pseudomonadota; Gammaproteobacteria; Pseudomonadales; Pseudomonadaceae. The record is from RNAcentral.
AGAGUUUGAUCAUGGCUCAGAUUGAAUGCUGGCGGCAGGCCUAACACAUGCAAGUCGAGCGGUAGAGAGAAGCUUGCUUCUCUUGAGAGCGGCGGACGGGUGAGUAAUGCCUAGGAAUCUGCCUGGUAGUGGGGGAUAACGUUCGGAAACGGACGCUAAUACAGCAUACGUUCUACGGGAGAAAGCAGGGGGGCUUCGGGCCUUGCGCUAUCAGAUGAGCCUAGGUCGGAUUAGCUAGUUGGUGAGGUAAUGGCUCGCCAAGGCGACGAUCCGUAACUGGUCUGAGAGGAUGAUCAGUCACACUGGAACUGAGACACGGUCCAGACUCCUACGGGAGGCAGCAGUGGGGAAUAUUGGACAAUGGGCGAAAGCCUGAUCCAGGCAUGCCGCGUGUGUGAAGAAGGUCUUCGGAUUGUAAAGCACUUUAAGUUGGGAGGAAGAGCAGUUACCUAAUACGGAUUGUUUUGCGUCCGACAGAAUAACGCCGGCGAGG